AGCAGCCGCGGUAAUUCCAGCUCCAAUAGCGUAUAUUAAAGUUGCUGCAGUUAAAAGCUCGUAGUUGAAUUUCGGGACUAAUAUGUCGGUCGUGCCUCGGUACGUACUGGCUUAUUGGUUUCUCCCUUCUGAAGAACCAUGAUGUCAUUUAUUUGGUGUCGUGGGGAAUCAGGACUGUUACUUUGAAAAAAUUAGAGUGUUUAAAGCAGGCUCACGCUUGAAUACAUUAGCAUGGAAUAAUGAAAUAGGACGUUUGAUUCUAUUUUGUUGGUUUCUAGGAUCGACGUAAUGAUUAAUAGGGAUAGUUGGGGGCAUUAGUAUUCAAUUGUCAGAGGUGAAAUUCUUGGAUUUAUUGAAGACUAACUACUGCGAAAGCAUUUGCCAAGGAUGUUUUCAUUAAUCAAGAACGAAAGUUAGGGAUCGAAGACGAUCAGAUACCGUCGUAGUCUUAACCAUAAACUAUGCCGACUAGGGAUCGGAUGAUGUUAAUUUUUAAUGUACUCAUUCGGCGCCUUAACC
This 519-nucleotide unclassified non-coding RNA is filed under the name uncultured Glomus. RNAcentral describes it as "SSU rRNA". It matches the Rfam family "Eukaryotic small subunit ribosomal RNA", at positions 569 to 1093 of the family's 1831-position model. The record is from RNAcentral. Lineage: Eukaryota; Fungi; Glomeromycota; Glomeromycetes; Glomerales; Glomeraceae.